This 484-nucleotide ribosomal RNA is filed under the name uncultured bacterium. Its description in RNAcentral is "partial 16S ribosomal RNA". It matches the Rfam family "Bacterial small subunit ribosomal RNA", at positions 30 to 507 of the family's 1533-position model. The record is from RNAcentral.
AUUGAACGCUGGCGGCAGGCCUAACACAUGCAAGUCGAGCGGAUGAAGGGAGCUUGCUCCUGGAUUCAGCGGCGGACGGGUGAGUAAUGCCUAGGAAUCUGCCUGGUCGUGGGGGAUAACGUACGGAAACGGGAGCUAAUACCGCAUACGUCAUGAGGGUGAAAGGGGGGGAUCUUCGGACCUCACGCUAUCAGAUGAGCCUAGGUCGGAUUAGCUAGUUGGUGGGGUAAAGGCCUACCAAGGCGACGAUCCGUAACUGGUCUGAGAGGAUGAUCAGUCACACUGGAACUGAGACACGGUCCAGACUCCUACGGGAGGCAGCAGUAGGGAAUAUUGGGCAAUGGGCGAAAGCCUGAUGCAGCCAUGCCGCGUGUGUGAAGAAGGUCUUCGGAUUGUAAAGCACUUUAAGUUGGGAGGAAGGGCAGUAUGUUUAUACCUUCCUGUUUUGACGUUACCAACAGAAUAAGCACCGGCUAACUUCGUG